CAACCCUCAAGCUCAGCUUGGUGUUGGGGACCUACGGCUCGCCGUAGGCCCCGAAAUUCAGUGGCGGGCUCGCCGGAGACCCGAGCGCAGUAGUAACAUCUCGCUUGCGGACCACCGGUGGGUGCUUGCCGUUAAACCCCCAACCUUAAGAC
This 152-nucleotide unclassified non-coding RNA is filed under the name uncultured Vermiculariopsiella. RNAcentral's name for it is "sequence contains ITS2". Lineage: Eukaryota; Fungi; Ascomycota; Sordariomycetes; Sordariales; Helminthosphaeriaceae. The record is from RNAcentral.